RNAcentral lists this ribosomal RNA (484 nucleotides) under uncultured bacterium. Its description in RNAcentral is "partial 16S ribosomal RNA". It matches the Rfam family "Bacterial small subunit ribosomal RNA", at positions 30 to 507 of the family's 1533-position model. The record is from RNAcentral.
AUUGAACGCUGGCGGCAGGCCUAACACAUGCAAGUCGAGCGGAUGAAGGGAGCUUUCUCCUGGAUUCAGCGGCGGACGGGUGAGUAAUGCCUAGGAAUCUGCCUGGUAGUGUGGGAUAACGUCCGGAAACGGGCGCUAAUACCGCAUACGUCCUGAGGGAGAAAGUGGGUGAUCUUCGGACCUCACGCUAUCAGAUGAGCCUAGGUCGGAUUAGCUAGUUGGUGGGGUAAAGGCCUACCAAGGCGACGAUCCGUAACUGGUCUGAGAGGAUGAUCAGUCACACUGGAACUGAGACACGGUCCAGACUACUACGGGAGGCAGCAGUGGGGAAUAUUGGACAAUGGGCGAAAGCCUGAUCCAGGCAUGCCGCGUGUGUGAAGAAGGUAUUCGGAUUCUAAAGCACUUUAAGUUGGGAGGAAGGGCAGUAAGUUAAUACCUUGCUGUUUUGACGUUACCAACAGAAUAAGCACCGGCUAACUCCGUG